This 253-nucleotide ribosomal RNA is filed under the name uncultured bacterium. Its description in RNAcentral is "partial 16S ribosomal RNA". It matches the Rfam family "Bacterial small subunit ribosomal RNA", at positions 524 to 776 of the family's 1533-position model. The record is from RNAcentral.
UACAGAGGGUGCGAGCGUUAAUCGGAAUUACUGGGCGUAAAGCGCGCGUAGGCGGCUUUUCAAGUCGAUUGUGAAAUCCCCGGGCUUAACCUGGGAACUGCAUUCGGGACUGCAUUGCUAGAGUAUGGGAGAGGGAAGUGGAAUUUCAGGUGUAGCGGUGAAAUGCGUAGAUAUCUGAAGGAACAUCAGUGGCGAAAGCGACUUCCUGGACCAAUACUGACGCUCAUGUGCGAAAGCGUGGGGAGCAAACAGG